Molecule: ribosomal RNA, 2923 nt
Filed under: Salmonella enterica
Lineage: Bacteria; Pseudomonadati; Pseudomonadota; Gammaproteobacteria; Enterobacterales; Enterobacteriaceae
Description: 23S ribosomal RNA
Rfam family: Bacterial large subunit ribosomal RNA
Source: RNAcentral
GGGUUGUGAGGUUAAGCGACUAAGCGUACACGGUGGAUGCCCUGGCAGUCAGAGGCGAUGAAGGGCGUGCUAAUCUGCGAUAAGCGCCGGUAAGGUGAUAUGAACCGUUAUAACCGGCGAUACCCGAAUGGGGAAACCCAGUGUGAUUCGUCACACUAUCAUUAACUGAAUCCAUAGGUUAAUGAGGCGAACCGGGGGAACUGAAACAUCUAAGUACCCCGAGGAAAAGAAAUCAACCGAGAUUCCCCCAGUAGCGGCGAGCGAACGGGGAGGAGCCCAGAGCCUGAAUCAGCAUGUGUGUUAGUGGAAGCGUCUGGAAAGGCGCGCGAUACAGGGUGACAGCCCCGUACACAAAAGCGCAUGUGCUGUGAGCUCGAUGAGUAGGGCGGGACACGUGGUAUCCUGUCUGAAUAUGGGGGGACCAUCCUCCAAGGCUAAAUACUCCUGACUGACCGAUAGUGAACCAGUACCGUGAGGGAAAGGCGAAAAGAACCCCGGCGAGGGGAGUGAAAAAGAACCUGAAACCGUGUACGUACAAGCAGUGGGAGCACCCUUUGGGUGUGACUGCGUACCUUUUGUAUAAUGGGUCAGCGACUUAUAUUCUGUAGCAAGGUUAACCGAAUAGGGGAGCCGGAGGGAAACCGAGUCUUAAUUGGGCGUUAAGUUGCAGGGUAUAGACCCGAAACCCGGUGAUCUAGCCAUGGGCAGGUUGAAGGUUGGGUAACACUAACUGGAGGACCGAACCGACUAAUGUUGAAAAAUUAGCGGAUGACCUGUGGCUGGGGUGAAAGGCCAAUCAAACCGGGAGAUAGCUGGUUCUCCCGAAAGCUAUUUAGGUAGCGCCUCGUGAAUUCAUCUCCGGGGGUAGAGCACUGUUUCGGCUAGGGGGCCAUCCCGGCUUACCAACCCGAUGCAAACUGCGAAUACCGGAGAAUGUUAUCACGGGAGACACACGGCGGGUGCUAACGUCCGUCGUGAAGAGGGAAACAACCCAGACCGCCAGCUAAGGUCCCAAAGUCAUGGUUAAGUGGGAAACGAUGUGGGAAGGCCCAGACAGCCAGGAUGUUGGCUUAGAAGCAGCCAUCAUUUAAAGAAAGCGUAAUAGCUCACUGGUCGAGUCGGCCUGCGCGGAAGAUGUAACGGGGCUAAACCAUGCACCGAAGCUGCGGCAGCGACACUGUGUGUUGUUGGGUAGGGGAGCGUUCUGUAAGCCUGUGAAGGUGUGUCGUGAGGCAUGCUGGAGGUAUCAGAAGUGCGAAUGCUGACAUAAGUAACGAUAAAGCGGGUGAAAAGCCCGCUCGCCGGAAGACCAAGGGUUCCUGUCCAACGUUAAUCGGGGCAGGGUGAGUCGACCCCUAAGGCGAGGCCGAAAGGCGUAGUCGAUGGGAAACGGGUUAAUAUUCCCGUACUUGGUGUUACUGCGAAGGGGGGACGGAGAAGGCUAUGUUGGCCGGGCGACGGUUGUCCCGGUUUAAGCGUGUAGGUGUGUGUUCCAGGUAAAUCCGGUUCACUUUAACACUGAGGCGUGACGACGAGGCACUACGGUGCUGAAGCAACAAAUGCCCUGCUUCCAGGAAAAGCCUCUAAGCAUCAGGUAACAUCAAAUCGUACCCCAAACCGACACAGGUGGUCAGGUAGAGAAUACCAAGGCGCUUGAGAGAACUCGGGUGAAGGAACUAGGCAAAAUGGUGCCGUAACUUCGGGAGAAGGCACGCUGACACGUAGGUGAAGUGAUUUACUCAUGGAGCUGAAGUCAGUCGAAGAUACCAGCUGGCUGCAACUGUUUAUUAAAAACACAGCACUGUGCAAACACGAAAGUGGACGUAUACGGUGUGACGCCUGCCCGGUGCCGGAAGGUUAAUUGAUGGGGUCAGCGCAAGCGAAGCUCCUGAUCGAAGCCCCGGUAAACGGCGGCCGUAACUAUAACGGUCCUAAGGUAGCGAAAUUCCUUGUCGGGUAAGUUCCGACCUGCACGAAUGGCGUAAUGAUGGCCAGGCUGUCUCCACCCGAGACUCAGUGAAAUUGAACUCGCUGUGAAGAUGCAGUGUACCCGCGGCAAGACGGAAAGACCCCGUGAACCUUUACUAUAGCUUGACACUGAACAUUGAGCCUUGAUGUGUAGGAUAGGUGGGAGGCUUUGAAGUGUGGACGCCAGUCUGCAUGGAGCCGACCUUGAAAUACCACCCUUUAAUGUUUGAUGUUCUAACGUGGACCCGUUACCCGGGUUGCGGACAGUGUCUGGUGGGUAGUUUGACUGGGGCGGUCUCCUCCUAAAGAGUAACGGAGGAGCACGAAGGUUGGCUAAUCCUGGUCGGACAUCAGGAGGUUAGUGCAAUGGCAUAAGCCAGCUUGACUGCGAGCGUGACGGCGCGAGCAGGUGCGAAAGCAGGUCAUAGUGAUCCGGUGGUUCUGAAUGGAAGGGCCAUCGCUCAACGGAUAAAAGGUACUCCGGGGAUAACAGGCUGAUACCGCCCAAGAGUUCAUAUCGACGGCGGUGUUUGGCACCUCGAUGUCGGCUCAUCACAUCCUGGGGCUGAAGUAGGUCCCAAGGGUAUGGCUGUUCGCCAUUUAAAGUGGUACGCGAGCUGGGUUUAGAACGUCGUGAGACAGUUCGGUCCCUAUCUGCCGUGGGCGCUGGAGAACUGAGGGGGGCUGCUCCUAGUACGAGAGGACCGGAGUGGACGCAUCACUGGUGUUCGGGUUGUCAUGCCAAUGGCACUGCCCGGUAGCUAAAUGCGGAAGAGAUAAGUGCUGAAAGCAUCUAAGCACGAAACUUGCCCCGAGAUGAGUUCUCCCUGAGACUUAGAGUCUCCUGAAGGAACGUUGAAGACGACGACGUUGAUAGGCCGGGUGUGUAAGCGCAGCGAUGCGUUGAGCUAACCGGUACUAAUGAACCGUGAGGCUUAACCUUACAACGCCGAAG